Long non-coding RNA from Galeopterus variegatus (Sunda flying lemur), 2940 nucleotides. RefSeq lists it as uncharacterized. The transcript is spliced from 3 exons. The record is from RefSeq and is a predicted model, not a curated record. NCBI's taxonomy places the organism in Eukaryota, Metazoa, Chordata, Mammalia, Dermoptera, Cynocephalidae.
ACCAGAAGAUCAAUUCAGAAGUUAUUAGAAUGGGAAAAUAACAGAUUGUAUCACAAGCUUGCUUUGCACUGGAAGUUGACUAAAAGGAAAUGCGAAACUAACAAUAUGAUGGAGUAUGUAAUACUAAUAGAAUUCUUACCAAAAUAUCCCAUAUUCCGACCUGACUGAGGAGUUUUAUUCAGUCACUUCUGUGUUUCCUGUCAUUUCCUACCCUUAGUGCCUUGUAGGUGAUUUUGGAAUGAAGACGGUCUCCUUUGUUGUGUUCAACUUAUUCUUUAUAAUAGUAGAAUAUACUCCUCACCCUUUUAUUUGUGUUGAUUUAACCAGAAAAUUUGCACAUCUUUUUUUGUUAUUAAAUAAGGCUUGUGUUUUGCACUCUCAAUUUUUAAAUAAAUACAUGCGUACGUGUGGACACACAUAUACAUAUAUAUGUAGUUGCCAGUAAAGAUAAAACAUCACUGCUGGUGUUUAAAAACAAAAACUUGUUCUGAGCAUGCUGCCUUAUAAUUUUCAUACUCACUGUUUCUAAAUAUGCAUCAUUUUUCUAGGCUACUUAAUGCUCUGUAACCCCUUACUGGACACACUUAAAUAAGCUUUUGGUAGCUUUUAGAAAUGGUUUUACUCUGCUUUUAAAGGACAUGCAAUUAAUAGCACUGGUUUUGUCCUGCACUUUGCUAAAUUAUCACUUAUGUUAUUAGGUAAAAUAUUUAAACUCCUAAAGACUUGUAAAUAUUGUCUCUUUGCAUAAUGUAAAAUGUGGUAUGCCAUGGUUUACAGAAUGUAAUAUUACUAUUACUGUAUUGCCAACAAUUCUGCAUAGAUUUUAAGAUGAAUGAAGUUUGCAAGCAUCCUUUUGAAUGUAGAGACCAUUAACAUGCUAUUUUAUGGCAAAGCCAUAAUAAGUAUGUUAAAAAUUUCAGGUGUAGGGCAGGGUUGCCCUUUGUAACAAGUGGAUUAAAAUUGAAAUCAUUAUCUCAGAUAGUCUGCAUUGCACCUGAAACCAAGAACAUAAUGUUUUCCAUUUAAUUCAAUAAUUUCUGUUUUGUCCUUCACCCCAACCCUCCAAAAGAAUUUGACAUCUGACACGUUUCACAGCCUUACUAACCUUCAUUUAUUUCCUUGUAUGUAUCCUUUCCUUCCUUUGAAAAUACAGUUAUGACCUUUGGCAUAUUUUGAGAUUUCAGAUGUCUUGGUAGGUAUCUGGAGACCCUCAUGAAAGCCACUGCUAACCCCUUUCUGGAGUUCAGUAUUCUGCUUUGUGAAAGAGAGAGAACUAAUUGAUAAGCUGUAUUUAAAGAAUAUAUAGUGGCCAAUUCAUAAUUGAUAAGAUAUUCUCAAUCCUCUUUUUGAGGAUCUUUUUUAAACAUUUGGAUAUUAUUAAUGAGAAAAGACGAGUAUUUAGACAAAAGUAUUUGAGCUUAUAAAUUUACUACACGGUUAGCCAUUUUAUUGGUAUGAGCAUAUUUCUCUUCACAGUUAAGAUGAGUGAGAGUACCACACUCUAAUCGUACUAGAAUUUGAAAUUUUAGCAUAAUGAAAGCUUUAUAUUAAGUUAAUUCAACUGCAAGUGUAUGCCUGUGUGUAGGCAUUAUUUGUAAUUCAUAGUGCUGAAAAUAAAAGUUACUGGGACUGAAUAAUAUUUUAUUUGUCAUCUUACUCUUACUCUUUUAGCAAACGUUUUUAGGCAAUCAUUCAUCCCAGUGAAGAGAGCAAUCAUUUCUUUCAUACAAGGUCAAGACUUUUGAAGCCACUUUUAAAAUUUAUGCCCAACUUGAAAUCCUCAGUCCUUAACCAGUAAAAAAAAAAAAAAAAAGGCACUAUUUGAUAUGUGAUUAUAAUUGUCUGCAUAAACACUUUUCCACUUCCUUCUGUAGAGCCCCAUGACCCCCGUGCCCAUCAGCCACCCAAAAUCUCUAACGCUUAAUAUAUUUUGUAUGCCUGCAAAUAUCAUGUGUCUGCCUGCUGCAAAAUUGAAGGUGUAUUUUUAUAGACAAGAUGGAAACCUCUGAAAAUGCAUACGAAAUGUCUUGUUUUAUAACCAUGGCCAGGGAAAAACUGUAUCUGUGGUUUAUGUUGUAGCUAAUAUCAUCAAAUUUAUGCUUCAUGCUGUGACAUUUUAAUAACAAAAUUGAUUUCCAGCACUAUCACUGAUAGAAUAAUUGCUUUUAAGUGUUAACCCUUAAAAAUCUUAUUUUUUUCUGUAACCUUAGAAUUUGACCAUAUGGUGCUUAUAUGGUUAUAGUAACUUUUUCUGCCAUGUAUAAAUCACGCUUGGUUUUGCUCAAAGAACUGCAGGAAGUGGUAAAUUGUUUCCAUGAAACAAAUAUUGAAACAGGAAUAGAGUGUAUCAUCAGUAGUGGGGACUGAGUACAAUUCAAGUUACAAUAGGAUGUCAUAAAAAUCAUUUGCCAGCUUGUGUAAACUUAAUUUUAAAACCUACUGUAAUCAUUCUUAAAUUUAUUAUUUUAUUGUUCAUUAUGCAAGUUGACUCAUCUUAGUUUCUUGAACAACCCAGAAAACAUCCAGUCUUCUUUUUGUUCUCUCUUAUGUGACUGCUUUUUCAAACUAUUUUCCCUUGCAGGGAGCUGAUUAACAAAUGGAUAUUUUGGAGUGUUGGGGGGGGUUCUUUUCAGUGAAAUUGGCAACAGUGAAUGCUGAAAUGACAGAAUACACUGUGGUAAUUAAUUCCUCCCCCAUCGAGAUUUUUUUCUUUUAUCCUCAGGGUAAAACAUACUUGUAUUUUUCCACUGGGUUAGUAAAGUGUUUUUGUGAAAGUUCGUUUUUUAUUGAAGAAAGUAAUUUUUAAUUUCUUUGUUGUAUAAUAUUCCUUUGUGAAACCUGCUUUGGUAAUUCCAGAGAAAAAUAACAUGUAUUUGCCAAAGUACGAGUAUGUAAACCUCACAAGGCUUUGAGGUUACAAGGUAAAACUGUUCUUUAAAA